CACGUAUUUAGCCGGAGCUUCUUAGUCCGGUACCGUCAUUUUCUUCCCUGCUGAUAGAGCUUUACAUACCGAAAUACUUCUUCACUCACGCGGCGUUGCUGCAUCAGGGUUUCCCCCAUUGUGCAAUAUUCCCCACUGCUGCCUCCCGUAGGAGUUUGGGCCGUGUCUCAGUCCCAAUGUGGCCGUUCACUCUCUCAAGCCGGCUACUGAUCGUUGUCUUGGUAGGCCGUUACCCUGCCAACUAACUAAUCAGACGCGGGCCCAUCCUGUACCACCGGAGUUUUUCCUGCUGUACCAUGCGGUACUGUAGGCUUAUGCGGUAUUAGCAGCCGUUUCCAGCUGUUGUCCCCCUGUACAGGGCAGGGUUACCCCAGCGUUACUCACCCGUCCGCCACUCAGUCCUGCGCGUCUUCCCUCCGGAGAGUUCCGUCACACAGUCUUCGUUCGACUUGCAUGUGUUAGGCACGCCCGCCAGCGUUCAUCCUGAGCCAGGAUCAAACUCU
This 503-nucleotide ribosomal RNA is filed under the name uncultured Lachnospiraceae bacterium. RNAcentral's name for it is "partial 16S ribosomal RNA". Lineage: Bacteria; Bacillati; Bacillota; Clostridia; Lachnospirales; Lachnospiraceae. The record is from RNAcentral.